This 497-nucleotide ribosomal RNA is filed under the name uncultured bacterium. Its description in RNAcentral is "partial 16S ribosomal RNA". It matches the Rfam family "Bacterial small subunit ribosomal RNA", at positions 28 to 507 of the family's 1533-position model. The record is from RNAcentral.
GAUGAACGCUGGCGGCGUGCCUAAUACAUGCAAGUCGAGCGAACGGACGAGAAGCCUUCCUCUCUGUUGUUUUAGGGGCACGCGUGUGUGUCACAUGGAUGUCACCUCUCUAUGACACGGGUAUCUUUGCGGAACCGCAGCUCUUAUAGGAUAAUAUAUUUAACUUCACGGUUCACAAGAGUAAGACACUGUUGUUGUCUCACAUAGAUGUAUCCGCGCUGCAUAAGCUAGUUGGUAAGGUAACGGCUCACCAAGGCAACGAUGCAUAGCCGAGCUGAGAGGGUGAUCGGCCACACUGGAACUGAGACACGGUCCAGACUCCUACGGGAGGCAGCAGUAGGGAAUCUUCCGCAAUGGACGAAAGCCUGACGGAGCAAUGCCGCGUGAGUGAAGAAGGUUUUCGGAUCGUAAAACUCUGUUGUAAGGGAAGAACAAAUGCGUAAGUAACUGAGCGCAUCUUGACGGUACCUAAUCAGAAAGCCACGGCUAACUACGUG